AUGGGUGAGUAACACGUACUCAACGUACCUUUUAGAUUGGGAUAGCGGAUGGAAACAUCCGAUAAUACCGAAUACUUAUUAUUUUUGCAUGAAAGUAAUAUAAAAGGAAGCGUUUGCUUCGCUAAAAGAUCGGAGUGCGCAACAUUAGCUAGUUGGUGAGGUAACGGCCCACCAAGGCGAUGAUGUUUAGCGGGGUUGAGAGAUUGAUCCGCCACACUGGGACUGAGAUACGGCCCAGACUCCUACGGGAGGCAGCAGUAGGGAAUAUUCCACAAUGGACGAAAGUCUGAUGGAGCGACACAGCGUGCAGGAUGAAGGCCCUAUGGGUUGUAAACUGCUGUGGUUAGGGAAGAAAAAGUAGCAUAGGAAAUGAUGCUACCUUGACGGUACCUGAUUAGAAAGCAACGGCUAACUAUGUGCCAGCAGCCGCGGUAAUACAUAGGUUGCAAGCGUUAUCCGAAAUUAUUGGGCGUAAAGCGUCUGUAGGUUGUUUGUUAAGUCUGGCGUUAAAUUUUGGGGCUCAACCCCAAAACGCGUUGGAUACUGGCAGACUAGAGUUAUGUAGAGGUUAGCGGAAUUCCUUGUGAAGCGGUGAAAUGCGUAGAUAUAAGGAAGAACAUCAAUAUGGCGAAGGCAGCUAACUGGGCAUACACUGACACUGAGAGACGAAAGCGUGGGGAGCAAACAGGAUUAGAUACCCUGGUAGUCCACGCCCUAAACGAUGAUCAUUAGUUGAUGGGGAACUCAUCGACGCAGCUAACGCAUUAAAUGAUCCGCCUGAGUAGUACGUUCGCAAGAAUAAAACUUAAAGGAAUUGACGGGGAUCCGCACAAGCGGUGGAGCAUGUGGUUUAAUUUGAAGAUACGCGUAGAACCUUACCCACUCUUGACAUCUUCUGCAAAGCUAUAGAGACAUAGUGGAGGUUAACAGAAUGACAGAUGGUGCA
This 946-nucleotide ribosomal RNA is filed under the name Mycoplasmopsis bovis. Its description in RNAcentral is "bacterial SSU rRNA". It matches the Rfam family "Bacterial small subunit ribosomal RNA", at positions 102 to 1045 of the family's 1533-position model. Lineage: Bacteria; Bacillati; Mycoplasmatota; Mycoplasmoidales; Metamycoplasmataceae. The record is from RNAcentral.